Olea europaea var. sylvestris is the source of this 313-nucleotide long non-coding RNA. RefSeq lists it as uncharacterized. The transcript has 3 exons. Lineage: Eukaryota; Viridiplantae; Streptophyta; Magnoliopsida; Lamiales; Oleaceae. The record is from RefSeq and is a predicted model, not a curated record.
AAGGGUACACACUAUGCCGAAAUCGGAGAGGGGCGAUCGCAAAUAUGAUGUAUAUGGCUUUUGCAUGGCUUUGCAGUUGUGGGCAUAUGAGGCUAUCCCUGCUUUGGGUAGCAAAUGGGCGAUCAGAAGGGAGACCAGCUGCCCACGAAUGCUUCAUUGACGAGCACAUGAAAAGCCAUCGGCUAAAGAUUUGACAGUUAUCCUCGACGAUCCUCAGCUCGAAGUUCAUGCUGAGUUGGUUGUCUCGGUGGAAGAGGAGGAUGCAAUAUAUGUACGUGAAUUACUUGUUCCCCCUACUGAAGACGAUCCAGUA